GACGAACCGUGCGAACGUUAUUCGGAAUCACUGGGCUUAAAGCGCGUGUAGGCGGAUGGGAACGUCGGUAGUUGAAAGCCCCCGGCUCAACUGGGGAGGGUCACCGGUAACGGCCGAGCUCUGAGUGCAGGAGAGGGGGAUGGAAUUCCGCGUGUAGCAGUGAAAUGCGUAGAUAUGCGGAGGAACACCGAUGGCGAAGGCAAUCCCCUGGGCCUGCACUGACGCUCAUGCACGAAA
Molecule: ribosomal RNA, 237 nt
Filed under: uncultured bacterium
Lineage: Bacteria
Description: partial 16S ribosomal RNA
Rfam family: Bacterial small subunit ribosomal RNA
Source: RNAcentral